This 478-nucleotide ribosomal RNA is filed under the name uncultured bacterium. RNAcentral describes it as "partial 16S ribosomal RNA". It matches the Rfam family "Bacterial small subunit ribosomal RNA", at positions 28 to 523 of the family's 1533-position model. The record is from RNAcentral.
AUUGAACGCUGGCGGCGUGCUUAACACAUGCAAGUCGAACGGUAAGGCCCUUCGGGGUACACGAGUGGCGAACGGGUGAGUAACACGUGGGUGAUCUGCCCUGCACUUCGGGAUAAGCCUGGGAAACUGGGUCUAAUACCGGAUAGGACCACUGCCUGCAUGGGUGGUGGUGGAAAGCUUUUGCGGUGUGGGAUGGGCCCGCGGCCUAUCAGCUUGUUGAUGGGGUGAUGGCCUACCAAGGCGACGACGGGUAGCCGGCCUGAGAGGGUAACCGGCCACACUGGGACUGAGAUACGGCCCAGACUCCUACGGGAGGCAGCAGUGGGGAAUAUUGCACAAUGGGCGCAAGCCUGAUGCAGCGACGCCGCGUGAGGGAUGACGGCCUUCGGGUUGUAAACCUCUUUCAGCACCGACGAAGCGCAAGUGACGGUAGGUGCAGAAGAAGGACCGGCCAACUACGUGCCAGCCGCCGCAGUAA